ACUGAAGUAAAAUUUACUCUGAAGUCAUAACCAAAAACCUUCCUGCUUAGAGGAGCGGGAACUCUUGAUCAUUUUUGCUGAUGUUAUUUCUGCAGCUUAAUUCAGUUGGCUGGAUUGUGUGUCAGUAUAAUGUGAUUGGCAAAAUGGAUACCCUUGAAACACAAAGGGCAGCCAAUACGUGCAUUAGGGAAUAGCUGAGUAACAGGGACGUUAUCUUUUCCUUCUUGAGUGGCUGCUCUACUCUUUCAUUUUGUCAUGAUUCUUUAGGUAAAUGGCGAGCAUACAGUUUGUCAGAUGGGAACAUCUGUUUAGAUCAUAAAGUGAGCGAGUUUGUUUAUGUUCUAAAACAAAACUGGAGCUGCGAUGGCGUUGUAGAGCAAUGUGGUCAUGGGAAACAGCUGAGGUCAAACCAACAGGAUGAGCAGAAGAGGAGAGAACAAACUAUCAAGGGACAAAGUAUUGGUUCAGACCCAUCAGAAAGCAGGCAGCGCCUAAGUGGCGAAGUGUGUCUACAUUCCUCUGGAGUUAAACUGGUCACCAUGAAGCACCAAUCAAUCUCCUGCUGGUUGAGCCAACUGGGACUGCCACAGUACUGCAUGGUGUUAGAGCAGGAAUAUGAUGGUGUAGAGGACAUCCUGCAUCUGUCGGAGUAUGACCUCUUGGAGCUGGGGGUCCACAAUCACCUCCACCGCCUGCAUCUGCUCACUUCCCUGCGCCUCCUCCAAGAGCGAGAAAGGAGGAGAGAAUUUAUGACAUAAACAUCAUGUCAACCACUUUCCUGCGAGAACCACACCUCACAAUGAGCAGGCAACUGACCAAGCAGUUCUCUGUCAAAGAAGUAUUGCUCCAGUUUUUUGGAUAUCUUUAGACUGCCAAUGUCAACUUAACUGCUCUAGAGACGACAAAACAAGCCUGAGAUGCUGCAAAUGUGAUGCC
This 936-nucleotide long non-coding RNA is filed under the name Oryzias javanicus (javanese ricefish). Its description in RNAcentral is "lncRNA (ENSOJAG00000003863.1)". The record is from RNAcentral. Lineage: Eukaryota; Metazoa; Chordata; Actinopteri; Beloniformes; Adrianichthyidae.